CGCCCAAUAGCUAGCCCCCGAACCAAAAACAACAAAUUACCAUAAAUAACCCCAAACACACUAGUGUUAUAUUAAAUAAAUCAUUCUUCCCCCUUAGUAUGGGCGACAGAAAAGGGACUACGGCGCAAUAGAAAAAGUACCGCAAGGGAACGCUGAAAGAGAAAUGAAAGAACCCAGUAAAGCCUUAAAAAGCAGAGAUUUUUACUCGUACCUUUUGCAUCAUGAUUUAGCUAGAAAUGCCCAGGCAAAGAGAACUUUAGUCUGGUUUCCCGAAACUAAGUGAGCUACUCCAAGACAGCCUAUUAAUAGGGCACACCCGUCUCUGUGGCAAAAGAGUGGGAAGAGCUUUGAGUAGAGGUGACAGACCUACCGAACUUAGUUAUAGCUGGUUGCCUGAGAAUUGGAUAGGAGUUCAGCCUCUCGGCUUCUUUUCUCACCCUUGUCCUAGCACCCUAUAGACACCCAAAGAAUACCGCGAGAGUUAGUCAAAGGGGGUACAGCCCCUUUGAAAUAAGACACAACUUUUCCAGGAGGGUAAAGAUCAUAAUAAAUUAAAGUAAAAUGUUCUGGUGGGCCUAAAAGCAGCCACCCCCCUAGAAAGCGUUAAAGCUCAGACAUACCACUUACCUCCUUAUACUGAUAAUUUAUCUUAACCCCCUAACCUUAUCAGGCCGCCCCAUGCUUUCAUGGGGGUGACCAUGCUAAUAUGAGUAAUAAGAGAGCCUCGACUCUCUCCCUGCACACAUGUAAGUCGGAAUGGACAAGCCACCGAAUCUUAACGGCCCCAAACAAAGAGGGUAAUGAACAAUAGACUAAACAACUAGAAAAACAUUCAAACUUUAACCGUUAACCCCACACUGGUGUGCCCCCCGGGAAAGACUAAAAGAAAAAGAAGGAACUCGGCAAACACAUAAAGCCUCGCCUGUUUACCAAAAACAUCGCCUCUUGCUGAAAUUAAAGAAUAAGAGGUCCCGCCUGCCCUGUGACUAUAAGUUUAACGGCCGCGGUAUUUUGACCGUGCGAAGGUAGCGCAAUCACUUGUCUUUUAAAUGAAGACCUGUAUGAAUGGCAUAACGAGGGCUUAGCUGUCUCCUUUUUCCGGUCAAUGAAAUUGAUUUCCCCGUGCAGAAGCGGGGAUGAGACCAUAAGACGAGAAGACCCUAUGGAGCUUUAGACACUAAGGUAAGCCAUGUUAAAUACCCCAAAAAUAAAGGGCUAAACCAAAUGAAAUUUACCCCCAUGUCUUUGGUUGGGGCGACCGCGGGGAAAUACAAAACCCCCACGUGGAAUGAGAACACUCUUUCCUACAACUAAGAGCCCCCGCUCUAGUUAACAGAAUUUCUGACCAGCAAGAUCCGGCAACGCCGAUCAACGGACCGAGUUACCCUAGGGAUAACAGCGCAAUCCCCUUUUAGAGCCCAUAUCGACAAGGGGGUUUACGACCUCGAUGUUGGAUCAGGACAUCCUAAUGGUGCAGCCGCUAUUAAGGGUUCGUUUGUUCAACGAUUAAAGUCCUACGUGAUCUGAGUUCAGACCGGAGUAAUCCAGGUCAGUUUCUAUCUAUGCUAUGAUCUUUUCUAGUACGAAAGGACCGAAAAGAAGAGGCCCAUGCUUCAAGUAUGCCUCACCCCCACCUAAUGAAGACAACUAAAAUAGGCAAAAGGGCAUGUCCCCUUUUGCCUAAGACUACGGCAA
This 1695-nucleotide ribosomal RNA is filed under the name Pomoxis nigromaculatus (black crappie). RNAcentral describes it as "16S ribosomal RNA". It matches the Rfam family "Bacterial large subunit ribosomal RNA". Lineage: Eukaryota; Metazoa; Chordata; Actinopteri; Centrarchiformes; Centrarchidae. The record is from RNAcentral.